CGAGCGAGGCAGUUGCAUCCAACCCUCUGUUAAAAAAAAGAUACAUCCAACCCGCCACAUAAAAUCUAAUUGUCGCCGUCUUCGAUUCCAAAUUCGAAACUUCUUUGAAAUCUCAAAUCUUUGUCUUUCUCACUUCUCUAACUCUUAAUCGCUCUCAUCCCUUCUUUGUUCUUGCGGUGCCCAUCUCUGUGCACCCACAAACAAUACCCACUUAGGCUUCCCUAAUCUUCACAGUUUCUGAAAAUGGAGGCAAAAAAGCAGCCGCUGAUUAUUACAGACAAAGACCGGAUGAGGAAUUGGUCUAGGUCAGUGAGAUCCCAGGGCAAGACCAUAGCCCUUGUACCCACUAUGGGUUACCUCCACCAAGGUCACAUAUCACUCGUCAAAGAAGCUCACAAACACGCCAAUUUAAUAGUAGUGUCAAUCUAUGUGAAUCCAGGUCAGUUCUCUCCCUCUGAGGAUCUCUCCACAUACCCAUCUGACUUUCAUGGUGAUAUCCUCAAGCUCAUGUCCAUUCCUGGUGGUGUAGAUGUUGUUUUCCAUCCCCAUAAUCUCUAUGACUAUAGAACUGAUAAUAAAAACAAGAAUGACAUUGUUAAUUGUACUGAUAGUAGGGAUGAUUGCAAGAAUUUAAAGGUUGAAGGGGUGGUGUCGUGUGUGGAAGAGAAGGGGACGGGACAUGAGACAUGGGUGAGAGUGGAGAGACUUGAGAAGGGUUUGUGUGGGAACAGUAGGCCGGUGUUCUUUAGAGGGGUUGCUACUAUUGUCACCAAGUUGUUUAAUAUAGUGGAGCCUGACUUUGCUGUGUUUGGGAAGAAGGAUUACCAGCAGUGGAGAAUUAUUCAGCGAAUGGUGAGAAUUAAUUGAACCUUUUUCUUCUUGACCAAUUGAUUAUGUUUUGGAUAGAAUGAAAAUGGGGGAAUGCUUCCAGUGUCUGAAAAAGGAGGAAUUUUUUUUUUUAGAUGUUUGUUCAAAUGUUUUCAGAUGUCCAUGGAGGCAACAGGAUUCUAAUCUUGAAUGUUUUGGAUUAAAAUCAGACAAAGUUUGCAAUUUUUUCAAAUUUAUUAGCUUUAUGUGCUGUUUGUUCUGCAAGCUAAGUGGAUGGCUUGUUUCAUAUGUGUAGAAACUUAUUUAAAGUUUUUAUGUGAUAAGUAUUUAACCAUUCAAAUUGAAUUCACAAAUUCUAGCGACAUGGUUCAGUUUUCAAGUUAAACCUAGUGAUGGUGCAGUUUUCAGCUUUAAAGAUUGAAGCCUUUGGUUUGAUCUCAAAAUGAUUUUGAACCUUUGGUUUGUCAUCUUGCUAAGUUCACUCGUAGUAUUUGUUUACUCAUUGGUUGAAUUCUGCAGGUUCGAGAUCUUGAUUUUUCCAUAAGAAUAAUAGGUUCUGAAGUAAUGCGCGACAGUGAUGGUCUUGCAAUGAGUUCCCGCAAUGUGCACCUUUCUCCUGAAGAGAGGGAAAAGGCCUUGUCUAUGAACAGGUCAUUGUUGAAAGCUAAAUCAUGUGCAGAAAAAGGCCAAAUAAAUUGUAUAGAGCUAAGAGACUUGGUCAUCCAAGCAAUAAAUGAAGCUGGAGGGAAAAUUGAUUAUGCUGAGAUUGUAGACCAGGAAACCUUGGAGGCUGCAGAAGAGAUUAGGAGUCCUGUUGUAUUCUGUGUUGCUGCCUGGUUUGGGAAGGUCAGACUUAUAGAUAAUGUUGAAAUCAACAUAUGAAUGAUUCUUUAUGAUGCAAACUCAAGCCAAGCAGCAUGGAAUUUCUGUUUCCCUUUAAUUGUCCAGUAGUGACUCAAGAAACUAUUACUGGCAGAGUGAGGGCACAUGCUAGAUCUAGUAAAAGAAAAUAGGAGUAAAUUCUUUCUUCUUGGUUGUAUUGAACAUUCAGAUUUAACUCAUGCAACCUGAUGAGCGUGAGCUUAAGAAUUUCCAAUUUUCAUGAUCCUGCCUUUAAGAUCAACUUGUGUUAGAUGAGAUUUAUGUCAACUUGCCAUU
This 1986-nucleotide unclassified non-coding RNA is filed under the name Hevea brasiliensis (rubber tree). The record is from RNAcentral. Lineage: Eukaryota; Viridiplantae; Streptophyta; Magnoliopsida; Malpighiales; Euphorbiaceae.